Molecule: RNA transcript, 3371 nt
Organism: Eleginops maclovinus (Patagonian blennie)
Lineage: Eukaryota; Metazoa; Chordata; Actinopteri; Perciformes; Eleginopidae
Gene name: cyclin-dependent kinase 15-like
Exons: 14
Source: RefSeq, a predicted model, not a curated record
AUUGCGUCCCUCCCGGAGUCGACAGCAACGUAAUGACGUCAUUACGUCCUAAGGCUCCCCACGCCGCUCACGUUGAGCUGAGCUUUUCAGUGGUUUUCUGUUUUCUCUCUUCUUUUCCUCGGUUUUGUGAAAGAUGUCGGUGUUUCACGACGAGGUGGAGAUCGAAGACUUUGAGUUUGACGAGGAGACAGAGGCGUACUACUUCCCGUGUCCCUGUGGAGACCGAUUCUGCAUCACUAAAGAGGAUCUGGAGAACGGAGAGGAGACGGCGACCUGUCCGAGCUGCUCGCUCAUCGUGAGAGUGAUCUAUGACCAGAAUGUGUUUCAGUGAGUGGAGCUGUGGUGACUGUCAUGAGAUCUGCUGGAGUCAUGUGAGAGGAGGAGGAGGAGGAGGAGGUUAUAGAGAGAGAAGAGAGGAAGAUGGAGGGUCUUCUUUCCCUCUGUGUGAGAAUCUGCUGCUGCUGUGAAGAAGAGGAAGAGGACAGGAAAGAAGAACCUAAGGAGGAGGUGAAGAUGAAGCAGCAGAGUUUUAAAAGCAGUUGCUCCUCUCUGCCGCUCGCUGAGUGUGACGGCCCCCCCCCCGCCUUUUGGUUCAGCACCCUGCAGGUCAGACCCCCACGUCAUCAGCGAGGACGGAGGAGCAGCGAGUGGGGGGACAGCCCCUUAUCCUGGAAGCCCGGCCUGCGCUUUGGAGCCUCUCAGUCCUACCUGAGUCUGGAGAAACUGGGGGAGGGGGCCAACGCCUGCGUCUAUAAGGGGGUCAGCAGGAUCAACGGGCAGCUGGUGGCUCUGAAGGAGAUCCGCAUGAAGACCGAGGAGGGGGUUCCCUUCACCGCCAUCAGAGAGGCGUCUCUUCUCAAAGCUCUGAAACACGCUAACAUCGUGGUUCUGCACGACAUCGUGCACACCAGAGACACACUGACGCUGGUCUUUGAGUACAUGCAGACAGAUCUAGGUCAGUACAUGAGCGAACACCAAGGAGGUCUCAACUCCCACAACGUCCGGCUGCUGUUGUUUCAGCUGCUGCGGGGCCUCCUCUUCCUCCACUCGCAGAGGGUGCUGCACCGGGACCUGAAGCCCCCCAACCUGCUGCUGAGCUUCAGAGGGGAGCUGAAGAUCGCUGACUUCGGUACCAACCACACACACUCUGGACUUCAGACUCCCUUCAGCACAUUAAUCCCCUGGUUGUGGUCUGUCUCUGGUCCUGGUUCAGGUCUGGCCCGCUCUCAGUCGGUCCCGGGUCUGGUUCUGUCCUCUGAGGUGGUGACCCUGUGGUACCGCCCCCCCGACGUCCUGCUGGGGAACACUGAGUACAGCAGCAGCCUGGACAUCUGGGGGGCGGGCUGUAUCUUUGUAGAGAUGCUGCAGGGGGCGCCGGCAUUCCCCGGAGAGAGGGACCGGAGCGGGCAGCUGCAGGAGAUCUGGACGGUGCUGGGGGUCCCGUCUGAGGCCAGCUGGCCUGGAGUCUGCCAGCUGCCUGAAUUUAACCCAGAGCGAUUCCUUCCCUCUCAGCCACAGAAGCUCCGCAACGUUUGGAAACGGUUCGGGUUAAUAAAUAUAUACACUUUACGAGGCUGCAGCAGUUGCCUGGGAAGACGGAGGACCUUCUGGACCGGAUGUUGAAGCCCCCGCCCUUAGAGAGGAUCUCUGCACAGGAAGCUCUGCUGCAUCCCUACUUCCACACGCUGCCACCUCCCAUCAUGCACCUGGGCGACACUACGUCCAUCUUCAAGGUUCCUGGACUUUGUCUGGAGGCCGAGGUCAGAGCCGGGCGAAGAUCAAGACCCUCCCUGCUGCACCGCGCCCCCCGCUGGUGACCACCUUUCACCUGAGCAGACGAGAGGAGGGGGAGAUGACCCAUCUACAUCAACCUGAGCAGAGAGGAGGGGGAGAUAACCCAUCUACAUCAACCUGAGCAGAGAGGAGGGGGAGAUAACCCAUCUACAUCAACCUGAGCAGAGAGGAGGGGGAGAUGACCCAUCUACAUCAACCUGAGCAGAGAGGAGGGGGAGAUGACCCAUCUACAUCAACCUGAGCAGAGAGGAGGGGGAGAUGACCCAUCUACAUCAACCUGAGCAGAGAGGGGGAGAUGACCCAUCUACAUCAACCUGAGCAGAGAGGAGGAGAUGACCCAUCUACAUCAACCUGAGCAGAGAGGAGGAGAUGACCCAUCUACAUCAACCUGAGCAGAGAGGAGGGGGAGAUGACCCAUCUACAUCAACCUGAGCAGAGAGGGGGAGAUGACCCAUCUACAUCAACCUGAGCAGAGAGGAGGAGAUGACCCAUCUACAUCAACCUGAGCAGAGAGGAGGGGGAGAUGACCCAUCUACAUCAACCUGAGCAGAGAGGGGGAGAUGACCCAUCUACAUCAACCUGAGCAGAGAGGAGGGGGAGAUGACCCAUCUACAUCAACCUGAGCAGAGAGGAGGGGGAGAUGACCCAUCUACAUCAACCCGAGCAGAGAGGAGGGGGAGAUGACCCAUCUACAUCAACCUGAGCAGAGAGGAGGGGGAGAUGACCCAUCUACAUCAACCUGAGCAGAGAGGGGGAGAUGACCCAUCUACAUCAACCUGAGCAGAGAGGAGGGGGAGAUGACCCAUCUACAUCAACCUGAGCAGAGAGGGGGGAGAUGACCCAUCUACAUCAACCUGAGCAGAGAGGAGGGGGAGAUGACCCAUCUACAUCAACCUGAGCAGAGAGGAGGAGAUGACCCAUCUACAUCAACCUGAGCAGAGAGGAGGAGAUGACCCAUCUACAUCAACCCGAGCAGAGAGGAGGGGGAGAUGACCCAUCUACAUCAACCUGAGCAGAGAGGAGGGGGAGAUGCCCCAUCUACAUCAACCUGAGCAGAGAGGAGGGGGAGAUGACCCAUCUACAUCAACCUGAGCAGAGAGGAGGGGGAGAUGCCCCAUCUACAUCAACCCGAGCAGAGAGGAGGGGGAGAUGACCCAUCUACAUCAACCUGAGCAGAGAGGAGGGGGAGAUGACCCAUCUACAUCAACCCGAGCAGAGAGGAGGGGGAGAUGACCCAUCUACAUCAACCUGAGCAGAGAGGAGGGGGAGAUGCCCCAUCUACAUCAACCUGAGCAGAGAGGAGGGGGAGAUGACCCAUCUACAUCAACCUGAGCAGAGAGGAGGGGGAGAUGACCCAUCUACAUCAACCUGAGCAGAGAGGAGGGGGAGAUGACCCAUCUACAUCAACCUGAGCAGAGAGGAGGGGGAGAUGACCCACUGAUAAUUACCUGAGAAAACAGUGGCAGGGGGGAAUAAACCCUCAGUGCUGAAUGAAGCCCUGAAGCUAAGCUAAGUGCUACCAGCUGUUGUUGACUAACCCACGGAGAGCAUAAAUAAAAAGUGUUGUUGUUAUUUCA